CCUACGGGGGGCAGCAGUGGGGGAUAUUGCACAAUGGGGGAAACCCUGAUGCAGCGACGCCGCGUGGGCGAAGAAGUAUUUCGGUAUGUAAAGCCCUAUCAGCAGGGAAGAAGAAAUGACGGUACCUGAGUAAGAAGCACCGGCUAAAUACGUGCCAGCAGCCGCGGUAAUACGUAUGGUGCAAGCGUUAUCCGGAUUUACUGGGUGUAAAGGGAGCGUAGACGGCAGUGCAAGUCUGGAGUGAAAGGCGGGGGCUCAACCCCCGGACUGCUCUGGAAACUGUACGGCUGGAGUGCAGGAGAGGUAAGUGGAAUUCCUAGUGUAGCGGUGAAAUGCGUAGAUAUUAGGAGGAACACCAGUGGCGAAGGCGGCUUACUGGACUGUAACUGACGUUGAGGCUCGAAAGCGUGGGGAGCAAACAGGAUUAGAUACCCGGGUAGUC
RNAcentral lists this ribosomal RNA (442 nucleotides) under uncultured bacterium. RNAcentral's name for it is "partial 16S ribosomal RNA". It matches the Rfam family "Bacterial small subunit ribosomal RNA", at positions 338 to 795 of the family's 1533-position model. The record is from RNAcentral.